Molecule: ribosomal RNA, 432 nt
Filed under: uncultured bacterium
Lineage: Bacteria
Description: bacterial SSU rRNA
Rfam family: Bacterial small subunit ribosomal RNA
Source: RNAcentral
CCUACGGGGGGCUGCAGUAGGGAAUCUUCGGCAAUGGACGAAAGUCUGACCGAGCAACGCCGCGUGAGUGAAGAAGGUUUUCGGAUCGUAAAACUCUGUUGUUAGAGAAGAACAAGUGGGAGAGUAACUGUUCCCACCUUGACGGUAUCUAACCAGAAAGCCACGGCUAACUACGUGCCAGCAGCCGCGGUAAUACGUAGGUGGCAAGCGUUGUCCGGAUUUAUUGGGCGUAAAGCGAGCGCAGGCGGUUCUUUAAGUCUGAUGUGAAAGCCCCCGGCUCAACCGGGGAGGGUCAUUGGAAACUGGAGAACUUGAGUGCAGAAGAGGAGAGUGGAAUUCCAUGUGUAGCGGUGAAAUGCGUAGAUAUAUGGAGGAACACCAGUGGCGAAGGCGACUCUCUGGUCUGUAACUGACGCUGAGGCUCGAAAGCGU